Molecule: ribosomal RNA, 497 nt
Filed under: uncultured bacterium
Lineage: Bacteria
Description: partial 16S ribosomal RNA
Rfam family: Bacterial small subunit ribosomal RNA
Source: RNAcentral
GACGAACGCUGGCGGCGUGCCUAAUACAUGCAAGUAGAACGCUGAAGAGAGGAGCUUGCUCUUCUUGGAUGAGUUGCGAACGGGUGAGUAACGCGUAGGUAACCUGCCUUGUAGCGGGGGAUAACUAUUGGAAACGAUAGCUAAUACCGCAUAACAAUGGCUGACACAUGUCGUUUAUUUUAAAGGGGCAAUUGCUCCACUACAAGAUGGACCUGCGUUGUAUUAGCUAGUAGGUGAGGUAAUGGCUCACCUAGGCGACGAUACAUAGCCGACCUGAGAGGGUGAUCGGCCACACUGGGACUGAGACACGGCCCAGACUCCUACGGGAGGCAGCAGUAGGGAAUCUUCGGCAAUGGGGGCAACCCUGACCGAGCAACGCCGCGUGGGUGAAGAAGGGUUUCGGAUCGUAAAGCUCUGUUGUAAGUCAAGAAAGGGUGUGAGAGUGGAAAGUUCACACUGUGACGGUAGCUUACCAGAAAGGGACGGCUAACUACGUG